AUUCUGUUUUGAUGAAUUAUGAAACUUAUCACAUGUCAGACUUCAGAGUUUCUUUCAAACAAAGGAAACAAUGAGAUUACAAGUUCAUAAAUCUGAGCAGAUG
Molecule: small nucleolar RNA, 103 nt
Organism: Lactuca sativa (garden lettuce)
Lineage: Eukaryota; Viridiplantae; Streptophyta; Magnoliopsida; Asterales; Asteraceae
Product: small nucleolar RNA R64/Z200 family
Source: RefSeq, a predicted model, not a curated record